RNAcentral lists this ribosomal RNA (253 nucleotides) under uncultured bacterium. RNAcentral's name for it is "partial 16S ribosomal RNA". It matches the Rfam family "Bacterial small subunit ribosomal RNA", at positions 524 to 776 of the family's 1533-position model. The record is from RNAcentral.
UACGUAUGGUGCAAGCGUUAUCCGGAUUUACUGGGUGUAAAGGGAGCGCAGGCGGCACGGCAAGCCUGAUGUGAAAGCCCGCGGCCCAACCGCGGGACUGCAUUGGGAACUACCGGGCUGGAGUGCCGGAGAGGUAGGCGGAAUUCCUAGUGUAGCGGUGAAAUGCUUAGAUAUUAGGAGGAACACCAGUGGCGAAGGCGGCCUACUGGACGGUGACUGACGCUGAGGCUCGAAAGCGUGGGGAGCAAACAGG